Capsicum annuum is the source of this 1519-nucleotide long non-coding RNA. RefSeq lists it as uncharacterized. The transcript is spliced from 3 exons. NCBI's taxonomy places the organism in Eukaryota, Viridiplantae, Streptophyta, Magnoliopsida, Solanales, Solanaceae. The record is from RefSeq and is a predicted model, not a curated record.
UCCGUUGCACGGAUCAAAAUAUAACCACAUAAGUCCAAAAUAAGGCUCUCGAAGCCAUCAAAAACCACAAUAUUGCAUAAAUGAUACCAAAAUGCAUCAAAAAUAAUGUCAACCACUCCCGCAUCCCAGAAAUACCAUAAUGCAACUACGGGAAGGGGUUUAAAUAGUUAAAUCACACAAAAUUAUAAAUUUCACAUAUUCAUCAAAUUUUUAGGUCGUUACAGGUGUAAUGUUAUCUUUUUAUCGUAUGACCCUGGUUUUCUGGAACUGGGCGAUAUCCCUUGAAAGACAAAAAUGCUAUUCCUUCUUCCAUCCAUGGAUGAGUUGAAAAGUUCAAUGUUAACAUUGUUUUAAUUUCUUUGAUUAUAUACAAUCCAUGCUAUAAUAAUGUUAUUGUUUUUUUAUUACUUUUCCUAUUACUACUUCCUAACUAAUUACUGGUCAUGAUUGAAACACUUAUUCCUCUCCUAAUGUUGCAGCUGAAAGAUUACGGACUAACUGGCUUGAUAAUGACAAUAGACGUAAGCAAAAUCCCUAUCUUUCGAAAGAAAUUGCAUUCUUUAAUAGACGAGUGAUGAUUUGACGAGAAAUUUUACCUUAUAAUUGGUUCAAUUAGACCUAGGCGACUUUGGAAGAUGAACAAGUUACUAUGCGAUGCCUCAAGAUGGACAUAAAGCAGUAAUCUGUUUUUUGGCAAAUACGCGUUAUGAUCAGGGAUAUAGGUCUGUAUUUGUGUUGCGAAGGAUGUUAAUCAAGUGAGUUGAAAGGGGAAGAGUGAAGCAUGUUGUCGGUGUUAAGCUCUCCAAUUCUUUCUCAGUUAAAGCUAAUAGUGUCCUGGAUUCUCAGGUUGGUUUCAUGUUCUCCUUUAUCUAAGGUUAUGUAUAUCUCUCCAAUUCAAAAAUUUGUUAAAAAUAUGAACAAUCAGGGUAAGAGGCAUCUUUCGAUGAACUCAUAAAUUAUUUGCUCUACGGAUUUACUUCUUGUUAGUGGUGCUUUGUUUAUAUGUUGCUUUAAGAAAAUCCAUUGAAUUGUUGGGGGGUUACUUUGAUGGGUAAUGGUAUUGUUCAUGAGUAUUGAAUAUUUUACUGUUGGUGUUUUGCAGAGUUGUUCUAGUAUUCAUUUCUCAUUCUUAAAAGACCUGCUUACACUUCAUUAAGAGAAAGAAUGCAGUGGCUCACAGCUACAAGAAUAGUUUCUCAGGAAUUGCAGCACGUUUAUCAGAUGCUGAAGCUCGGUCGCUUGCUCAACAUCCCGGAGUUGUUUCUGUUUUCCCUGAUCAGGUAUUUUAACUACACAUUACGCGAUCAUGAAAUUUUCUGAAGGAUCAAUACCAUCUGCUACAUGAUAUCCCCUACAGUUCUGGUUGGAAUUCAACCUCAUCAAAUGAAGCAGAUACCAUAAUUGGCAUUUUUGACACUGGAAUAUGGCCUGAAUCAGAGAGUUUCAAUGACAAGGGUAUCGGUCCAGUUCCAUCGCGAUGGAAAGGAACUUGCAUCAGAGAUUAUGACUUCAAAACUUC